UAGAGUUUGAUCAUGGCUCAGGAUGAACGCUAGCGACAGGCUUAACACAUGCAAGUCGAGGGGCAGCGGGGAGGUAGCAAUACUCCCGCCGGCGACCGGCGCACGGGUGAGUAACACGUAUGGAACCUGCCCGUAGCAGGGGGAUAAGCGGAAGAAAUUCCGUCUAAUACCGCGUAAUAACUCCGAGAGGCAUCUCAUGGAGUUUAAAGGGUAAUACCGGCUACGGAUGGCCAUGCGGCGCAUUAGCUAGUUGGCGGGGUAACGGCCCACCAAGGCGACGAUGCGUAGGGGUUCUGAGAGGAAGGUCCCCCACACUGGUACUGAGACACGGACCAGACUCCUACGGGAGGCAGCAGUGAGGAAUAUUGGUCAAUGGGCGCGAGCCUGAACCAGCCAAGUCGCGUGAGGGAAGACGGUCCUAUGGAUUGUAAACCUCUUUUGUCGGGGAGCAAAAGGCGCCACGUGUGGCGUUCCGAGAGUACCCGAAGAAAAAGCAUCGGCUAACUCCGUGCCAGCAGCCGCGGUAAUACGGAGGAUGCGAGCGUUAUCCGGAUUUAUUGGGUUUAAAGGGUGCGCAGGCGGAAGAUCAAGUCAGCGGUAAAAUUGAGAGGCUCAACCUCUUCGAGCCGUUGAAACUGGUUUUCUUGAGUGAGCGAGAAGUAUGCGGAAUGCGUGGUGUAGCGGUGAAAUGCAUAGAUAUCACGCAGAACUCCGAUUGCGAAGGCAGCAUACCGGCGCUCAACUGACGCUCAUGCACGAAAGUGUGGGUAUCGAACAGGAUUAGAUACCCUGGUAGUCCACACAGUAAACGAUGAAUACUAAUUGUUCGGGGAGAAUGAUCCCUGAGUGAUACAGCGAAAGCGUUAAGUAUUCCACCUGGGGAGUACGCCGGCAACGGUGAAACUCAAA
RNAcentral lists this ribosomal RNA (909 nucleotides) under uncultured bacterium. RNAcentral describes it as "bacterial SSU rRNA". It matches the Rfam family "Bacterial small subunit ribosomal RNA", at positions 1 to 905 of the family's 1533-position model. The record is from RNAcentral.